RNAcentral lists this ribosomal RNA (453 nucleotides) under uncultured Porphyromonadaceae bacterium. RNAcentral describes it as "partial 16S ribosomal RNA". It matches the Rfam family "Bacterial small subunit ribosomal RNA", at positions 341 to 792 of the family's 1533-position model. The record is from RNAcentral. Lineage: Bacteria; Pseudomonadati; Bacteroidota; Bacteroidia; Bacteroidales; Porphyromonadaceae.
ACGGAAGGCAGCAGUGAGGAAUAUUGGUCAAUGGGCGGAAGCCUGAACCAGCCAAGUCGCGUGAAGGAUGAAGGUAUUAUGUAUUGUAAACUUCUUUAGCAGUGGAGUAAUAAGGAGGUCGUGACCUCUGAUGCAAGUACACUGAAAAUAAGGAUCGGCUAACUCCGUGCCAGCAGCCGCGGUAAUACGGAGGAUCCGAGCGUUAUCCGGAUUUAUUGGGUUUAAAGGGUGCGCAGGCGGCUUUUUAAGUCAGCGGUUAAAUCGUGAGGCUCAACCUCAUCUCGCCGUUGAUACUGGAGAGCUUGAUUGCGGUUGAGGUUGGCGGAAUUCGUCGUGUAGCGGUGAAAUGCAUAGAUAUGACGAAGAACACCGAUUGCGUAGGCAGCUGACCAAGCCGUAAAUGACGCUCAUGCACGAAAGUGCGGGGAUCGAACAGGAUUAGAUACCCUGGUA